Molecule: transfer RNA, 74 nt
Filed under: Ornithinimicrobium faecis
Lineage: Bacteria; Bacillati; Actinomycetota; Actinomycetes; Micrococcales; Ornithinimicrobiaceae
Description: Ornithinimicrobium sp. HY1793 tRNA-Pro
Rfam family: tRNA
About the family: Transfer RNA (tRNA) molecules are approximately 80 nucleotides in length. Their secondary structure includes four short double-helical elements and three loops (D, anti-codon, and T loops). Further hydrogen bonds mediate the characteristic L-shaped molecular structure. tRNAs have two regions of fundamental functional importance: the anti-codon, which is responsible for specific mRNA codon recognition, and the 3' end, to which the tRNAs corresponding amino acid is attached (by aminoacyl-tRNA synthetases). tRNAs cope with the degeneracy of the genetic code in two manners: having more than one tRNA (with a specific anti-codon) for a particular amino acid; and 'wobble' base-pairing, i.e. permitting non-standard base-pairing at the 3rd anti-codon position.
Source: RNAcentral
CGGGCUGUGGCGCAGUUUGGUAGCGCACUUCACUGGGGGUGAAGGGGUCGCAGGUUCAAAUCCUGUCAGCCCGA